Molecule: long non-coding RNA, 1952 nt
Organism: Micropterus dolomieu (smallmouth bass)
Lineage: Eukaryota; Metazoa; Chordata; Actinopteri; Centrarchiformes; Centrarchidae
Exons: 3
Source: RefSeq, a predicted model, not a curated record
CUUGGCAGCCCUAAAGUGUUAAAUAACCUUAAAAAUUUUUUUAAUGUAAAUUUAAAUUAUUUUACAUAAAUCAAUGUUUCAAUAUGUUAGUUUAUUAUGGUAAAAUGUUAAAAUUAUUACAAAUGUAUUAUAAACAUGAAAUCAACCUGAAGAUCUCCUCAGUUAAAAGUGUGUGUUUUUCUGCUGGAGUUCUGCACAGAGAGACCAGGGGCCUGUAUUCGGGAGCGGCGUGUGGAUUUAGCGAGGUAACUUCAGGUUUAUGUCGUAGCCACCGUGACGUCACCCGUUACUUGAUGGCUUUUUGGCCGUCGCCAUCUUUGUUUUUUUGCAUCCAGACGUGACCAUACUUGGACAAGAGGGUGGAGCUAGCUAGCGCCACCCUCUUGUCCAAAUAUGCUUGGUUAGCAUGGUGCAUCCGUCAUUUACGUUAAUGUGAUAUUAGCUGGGAUGCUAAUUUUGGCUAGCGAGAAACGGGCUUAAAACAGAACGUACUUUCCAGAAAAAUGAACAUUCGACUCCUUAGAGAGUCUUUUAGCACAACCGAACGCUGAUAAAGAUGUUUUUUAGGACCAAAAUGUUCCCGUUAACGUUCAUAAAGUGUAAACGGACUGAGACAGCGCAGCGGAUACGAGUUUCUUCUAUCCUGAUUGACAGGUCGGAGCAACUCGUCAAUCACAAAGUAGCAUCGGUAACUGAACCUGCUCCAGAUCAGGUUCUGUUCAAGUCAGACAGCAACACUAUGAAAGCCACGCCCACUGUUUAAAUAAUGACAUCACCAUCUGUAGAUCGCGACUAUCUGAGCUCCUUUUAUGGUUGAAGGGAUUUUUGGUUUUGUUGUUUUAUGAAGUUAAGACGAGACGCUGCAGGUGAAUGUGAUUUCUCACAUUAAGACAAUAAGUUUUAUGUUUCAAUAUGCAAAUGAUGGCAUUAUCUAAUGAAAUAUGCGCUGAUUUGCAUGUAUUUCACAAACUGAAAUCUGAACUCUGGAUAAAGUCAGGUUCAAAAUUAUUGUUUGAUUUUGUUGACACAUUAGACUCAAAUGUUUUUACUGAGAGGAGUUUGACUUUCUCUUUUUAUUAUUUCAUAAAUCAGAAAAUACAGUCAACAGACAUAAAACUAAAUUUUCAAUCUCAAACUGAUUACUGAGGAACAGCACGUGUCAAAGCACGCCACGUGACGCAUCUAAGCCAGUCACGUUGUCAGAAAUCGACGCUAGCCAGUCAGUUUAAAAGCUUAAAUCCGCCUCUGCGCCUGUGAGGCUUUUAAUGUGAAACGCUGACAUGGUCAAACGUCACAACGCGUUGAUUUAAUGAAACACGUGAUCACAUGUCAUCAGCUGGUCACGCACCUGGAGAGUUUCUGACUUCCUGCUGCAGCUGGAUCAGGUGUCACCUGCUUCCUGUCUGUCUCAUUAUUUAAUAUAACUUUAAUCUGUUUGUAGAACAUGUUUCGUAGCACAGGUAGCACAGGUCAAGUGUUUGGAGAGAAAACAAAAUGAUUCUCUUGUAGGCCACGAAUUCUGUGUGAGCUCAGGUCCUGUGGGCGGGUCCUCUGGGCUCAGGUGUGGUGACAGACAGGUGUUGUGGGCGGGUCCUGUGGGCUCAGGUCCUGUGGGCAGGUCCUCUGGGCUCAGGUGUGGUGACAGACAGGUCCUGUGGGCGGGUCCUGUGGGCUCAGGUGCUGUGGGCAGGUCCUCUGGGCUCAGGUGUGGUGACAGACAGGUGUUGUGGGCGGGUCCUGUGGGCUCAGGUGCUGUGGGCAGGUCCUCUGGGCUCAGGUGUGGUGACAGACAGGUGUUGUGGGCGGGUCCUGUGGGCAGGUCCUCUGGGCUCAGGUGUGGUGACAGACAGGUCCUGUGGGCGGGUCCUGUGGGCUCAGGUGCUGUGGGCAGGUCCUCUGGGCUCAGGUGUGGUGACAGACAGGUGUUGUGGGCGGGUCCUGUGGGCUCAGGU